Glycine soja is the source of this 1483-nucleotide RNA transcript. RefSeq lists it as uncharacterized. The record is from RefSeq and is a predicted model, not a curated record. Lineage: Eukaryota; Viridiplantae; Streptophyta; Magnoliopsida; Fabales; Fabaceae. The transcript is spliced from 4 exons.
CGAGCAAUGAAAGCGAGAGAGAAAAACAAACACAGAUAGAAAGAAAAGAAAUUUCACCGUACCAGAGAACAAGGAAGGAUAGAAGAAAGUGAAAGAAAAUGGCGUUGUACAUGGACGAAGAAGAGAUUUGGAAGUGUCCGAAGCAUCCAUCAAAGAGAAGAAGAAGUGGAAUUUGCCCUACUUGCCUUCGAGACCGUCUCGUAACUCUUUGCCCUGACUGUGCUAACGUGCGCCCCUGUUCCUGCUACGCAACCAGCUCCUCCUCCUCUUCCUCGUCUUCCUCCUCCUUAUCGCGUUUUUCUGGCGCCGGCGAUGGCGUCGGUUCCGUCGGCCGCGUCCACAACCUCAUCGAGCAAGAGCCUGGGCUCCGCCGCUCGCGCUCCAUGGCGAUUCCGUUUCUCAGGUCACGGUCGCGGUUCUCUGGCGGCGGAGAUAGGGUUUCGGAUCUCGACAGCACGAGGGACUCGCCGGCAAUGAACGGAAGCCGGUCGGCGAGGUCGUUCUGGUCAAUGUUCAAGUCGCAGAAGAGCAGUAGACACGGCGGCGGAGGAGGCGGCGCGCCGGAGCAAGAGUGGGAGGCGAAAAAGAUAUUGGCGGAGGAACGAGACGGCGAUGGUGGCAUAAAUCCGAUGAUGGUGCGGUCAAGGUCGGUGGCAGUGACGGCGGUAACGGUGGUUUCCGGCGACGGAGAAUUGAGACCGCGGACGAAAGGGAGAGGGUGGUUCUUCCCAAGUCCGAUGAAGGCUUUCCGGCAAUCCAAGGUCUCUAAAGUGAUUCAGGAAGGGUCUCCUUUGUAUAGAGUACGGUCUUGAUUAUGUUCUUCGAGAUCCUAAUGCGUUACAGUUCAGCCGAGAAUGUUGAAUUUGCAAUUUGCAAUACAAAUACAAUGACAGAAAGUGUAUUGCUGUUUAAUUUCUAGUCUAUAUUUCUUCUUCUAUUAUGUUGUGGUCUACCAUGUAUGCUAAUUCAAGCACAAGGGAGAAUGCCACAUCAAACCGUCUUUGUUAUUGUCGUAGAAGAGCUAUCAUUCGAACAACAAAGACGACAAGGAAUAAUGGGAGACUAUUUUAUGCUUGUCCAUUACCACAACAAGAUGUAGAUCGAUGUAAUUUCUUUUUGUGAGUUGAUGAAGACAUUGAUGUUGGUGCAACUAAAAUAGGUGGAAUAGAAUCAAUACCAGACUUUGGUCUAAGGUUGAGACUGGAGAUUCUGCAAAGGCACUAAUUGACAUGGAACACACAAAAGUACUGAUUGCGUCAAUAAACAAUGAAGGGUGAUGAAGAACGACAACCAUCACCACUGGGAGAGCGAUGAUCGACGUGGACCUAGUACAAGAACGUUAUCCUUCAACCAUAGGAGGAAGAAAAUGGUGAGCUGGAAUUCAUCACGUUUUCAAUUAGACUAAAAACUAUUAAGGAUCAAUUUGAUACUAUAUACAAAAAUUGACUCUUCAUUUUCCAAUAUAACAUUUAAAAUUAUGUCA